RNAcentral lists this ribosomal RNA (892 nucleotides) under Orthomus velocissimus. RNAcentral's name for it is "eukaryotic LSU rRNA". It matches the Rfam family "Eukaryotic large subunit ribosomal RNA", at positions 406 to 944 of the family's 3401-position model. Lineage: Eukaryota; Metazoa; Arthropoda; Insecta; Coleoptera; Carabidae. The record is from RNAcentral.
UGUUCAGGGGUAAACCUGUGGUUCCCGAAAGUUCGAACGGGGAGAUUCAAUUGCCUUACCGGUUAUUACCAUUUAACAGUGAUAUUUUUAUAAUAUUUUGAGACAUUAUGUACGGUAUAGUUUUUUAUUAGACUAUAUUUGUUUAUAUAGUGCUCCGCUGUUUUAUGUAUUAUUAUGUAUAUAGCCGGAGGUGUGCACUUCUCCCCUUGUAGGACGUCGUGACCUAUUGGGUAAUAUUAUAUAUAAAUGUUGUCUAAGGCUCAUAUUGGAGACCAUAGUAUCAAGUUUCGGCUUGUGUACUUUUGGACUUUUGUGAUGUCCCGACAUCUACCCGAUGGUAUUGUUUAAUGUGAUAAUGAGUCGCUAAGAAAAAUUUAUUUUUUUUUGGUGAGCGUUCAGACCUAUAACAAAUGCUUAUAUGAAUGUAAUUGUGGAAAUUGUAUUUUAUUUACGAUUCUACACAUAUAGUAUUGUUAGUUAUUUGGUGUUCUCGAACCGAUUCUUAUUAUCCGUCAACGGCGUUUAUGUUUUGGGUAAUUACAGGACCCGUCUUGAAACACGGACCAAGGAGUCUAGCAUGUGCGCGAGUCAUUGGGACUCUUUAUAAAAAACCUAAAGGCAUAAUGAAAGUAAAUAUUAUAAUAAUUUUAUAUUAUUAUUUAAUAAAGGGAAGAUGGGUAAUUAAAUUUAUAUUACCUCGCAUUCCCGGGGCGUCGCUUACUUAUUGCAAGUUGCGGCGCACCAAGAGCGUACACGCUGGGACCCGAAAGAUGGUGAACUAUGCCUGGUCAGGAUGAAGUCAGGGGAAACCCUGAUGGAGGUCCGUAGCGAUUCUGACGUGCAAAUCGAUCGUAUGAACUGGGUAUAGGGGCGAAAGACUAAUCGAACCAUC